Molecule: ribosomal RNA, 428 nt
Filed under: uncultured bacterium
Lineage: Bacteria
Description: bacterial SSU rRNA
Rfam family: Bacterial small subunit ribosomal RNA
Source: RNAcentral
GAUGAACGCUAGCGGGAGGCUUAACACAUGCAAGUCGAGGGGCAGCACGAAUAGCAAUAUUUGGUGGCGACCGGCGCACGGGUGAGUAACGCGUAUGCAACCUACCCUUUACAGGAGGAUAGCCCGGAGAAAUUCGGAUUAAUACUCCAUAGUUUCGUGAUGUCGCAUGAUAUUACGGAUAAAGUUCAGGCGGUAAAGGAUGGGCAUGCGUACCAUUAGUUAGUUGGUGAGGUAACGGCUCACCAAGACAGCGAUGGUUAUGGGGUCUAAAAGGAUGGUCCCACACACUGGUACUGAGACACGGACCAGACUCCUACGGGAGGCAGCAGUGAGGAAUAUUGGUCAAUGGGCGAAAGCCUGAACCAGCCAUCCCGCGUGCAGGAUGACAGCCCUAGAGGUUGUAAACUGCUUUUCUGCAGGAAGAAUAA